RNAcentral lists this ribosomal RNA (439 nucleotides) under uncultured bacterium. RNAcentral describes it as "partial 16S ribosomal RNA". It matches the Rfam family "Bacterial small subunit ribosomal RNA", at positions 338 to 795 of the family's 1533-position model. The record is from RNAcentral.
CCUACGGGUGGCAGCAGUGGGGAAUAUUGCACAAUGGGCGAAAGUCUGAUGCAGCAACGCCGCGUGAGCGAUGAAGGCCUUCGGGUCGUAAAGCUCUGUCCUCAAGGAAGAUAAUGACGGUACUUGAGGAUGAAGCCCCGGCUAACCACGUGCCAGCAGCCGCGGUAAUAGGUGGGGGGCUAGGGUUAUCCGGAAUUAUGGGGCGUAAAGGGUGCGUAGGUGGUUUCUUAAGUGAGUGGUGAAAGGCGACGGCUCAACCGUAGUAAGCCUUUGAAACUGUGAGACUUGAGUGCAGGAGAGGAAAGUGGAAUUUCUAGUGUAGCGGUGAAAUGCGUAGAGAUUAGAAGGAACACCAGUUGCGAAGGCGGCUCACCAGGCUGUAACUGACGCUGAGGCACGAAAGCGUGGGGAGCAAACAGGAUUAGAUACCCUUGUAGUC